UACAGAGGUGGCAAGCGUUGUUCGGAAUUACUGGGCGUAAAGGGCGCGUAGGCGGUUCGUUAAGUCCUGUGUGAAAUCCCCCGGCUCAACUGGGGAACUGCACAGGAAACUAGCGGGCUUGAGUUCGGGAGAGGGAAGCGGAAUUCCGGGUGUAGCGGUGAAAUGCGUAGAUAUCCGGAGGAGCACCGGUGGCGAAGGCGGCUUCCUGGACCGACACUGACGCUGAGGCGCGAAAGCUAGGGGAGCAAACGGG
This 253-nucleotide ribosomal RNA is filed under the name uncultured bacterium. RNAcentral describes it as "partial 16S ribosomal RNA". It matches the Rfam family "Bacterial small subunit ribosomal RNA", at positions 524 to 776 of the family's 1533-position model. The record is from RNAcentral.